This 484-nucleotide ribosomal RNA is filed under the name uncultured bacterium. RNAcentral describes it as "partial 16S ribosomal RNA". It matches the Rfam family "Bacterial small subunit ribosomal RNA", at positions 30 to 507 of the family's 1533-position model. The record is from RNAcentral.
AUUGAACGCUGGCGGCAGGCCUAACACAUGCAAGUCGAGCGGAUGAAGGGAGCUUGCUCCUGGAUUCAGCGGCGGGCGGGUGAGUAAUGCCUAGGAAUCUGCCUGGUAGUGGGGGAUAACGUCCGGAAACGGGCGCUAACACCGCAUACGUCCUGAGGGAGAAAGUGGGGGAUCUUCGGACCUCACGCUAUCAGAUGAGCCUAGGUCGGAUUAGCUAGUUGGUGGGGUAAAGGCCUACCAAGGCGACGAUCCGUAACUGGUCUGAGAGGAUGAUCAGUCACACUGGAACUGAGACACGGUCCAGACUCCUACGGGAGGCAGCAGUGGGGAAUAUUGGACAAUGGGCGAAAGCCUGAUCCAGCCAUGCCGCGUGUGUGAAGAAGGUCUUCGGAUUGUAAAGCACUUUAGGUUGGGAGGAAGGGCAGUAAGUUAAUACCUUGCUGUUUUGACGUUACCAACAGAAUAAGCACCGGCUAACAUCGUG